CAAUAGCGUAUAUUAAAGUUGUUGCGGUUAAAAAGCUCGUAGUUGGAUUUCUGCUGAGAACGACCGGUCCGCCCUUUGGGUGUGUAUCUGGCUCUUUCUUGGCAUCUUCUUGGUGAACGUUGCUGCACUUGACUGUGUGGAGCGCUACCCAGGACUUUUACUUUGAGGAAAUUAGAGUGUUUCAAGCAGGCAUACGCCUUGAAUACAUUAGCAUGGAAUAAUAAGAUAGGACCUCGGUUCUAUUUUGUUGGUUUCUAGAGCUGAGGUAAUGAUUAAUAGGGAUAGUUGGGGGCAUCCGUAUUUAACUGUCAGAGGUGAAAUUCUUGGAUUUGUUAAAGACGGACUACUGCGAAAACAUUUGCCAAGGAUGUUUUCAUUGA
Molecule: ribosomal RNA, 380 nt
Filed under: uncultured eukaryote
Lineage: Eukaryota
Description: partial 18S ribosomal RNA
Rfam family: Eukaryotic small subunit ribosomal RNA
Source: RNAcentral